GCGAGGGUAGCUCAGUUGGAUAGAGCAACAGACUACGAAUCUGUAGGUCGGAGGUUCGAUUCCUCUCCCUCGCACCA
RNAcentral lists this transfer RNA (77 nucleotides) under Pseudomonadota bacterium. RNAcentral's name for it is "Proteobacteria bacterium tRNA-Arg". It matches the Rfam family "tRNA". From Rfam's summary of the family: Transfer RNA (tRNA) molecules are approximately 80 nucleotides in length. Their secondary structure includes four short double-helical elements and three loops (D, anti-codon, and T loops). The record is from RNAcentral. Lineage: Bacteria; Pseudomonadati; Pseudomonadota.